GUGUCAGCCGCCGCGGUAAUACGUAGGUGGCAAGCGUUGUCCGGAAUUACUGGGUGUAAAGGAUGCGUAGGCGGAUAUGUAAGUCAGAUGUGAAACCCCCGGGCUUAACCCGGGGCAUGCAUUUGAGACUGCAUAUCUAGAGUGCAGGAGAGGAAAGCGGAAUUCCUAGUGUAGCGGUGAAAUGCGUAGAUAUUAGGAAGAACACCAGUGGCGAAGGCGGCUUUCUGGACUGUAACUGACGCUGAUGCAUGAAAGCGUGGGGAGCAAACAGGAUUAGAUACCCUGGUAGUCCACGCCGUAAACGAUGGGUACUAGGUGUGGGAGGUAUCGACCCCUUCCGUGCCGCAGUAAACACAAUAAGUACCCCACCUGGGGAGUACGGUCGCAAGAUUAAAACUUAAAGGAAUUGACGG
Molecule: ribosomal RNA, 413 nt
Filed under: uncultured bacterium
Lineage: Bacteria
Description: bacterial SSU rRNA
Rfam family: Bacterial small subunit ribosomal RNA
Source: RNAcentral